Molecule: ribosomal RNA, 145 nt
Filed under: Phaeosphaeriopsis sp. RHP-2017a
Lineage: Eukaryota; Fungi; Ascomycota; Dothideomycetes; Pleosporales; Phaeosphaeriaceae
Description: 5.8S ribosomal RNA
Rfam family: 5.8S ribosomal RNA
About the family: 5.8S ribosomal RNA (5.8S rRNA) is a component of the large subunit of the eukaryotic ribosome.
Source: RNAcentral
CAACUUUCAACAACGGAUCUCUUGGUUCUGGCAUCGAUGAAGAACGCAGCGAAAUGCGAUAAGUAGUGUGAAUUGCAKAAUUCAGUGAAUCAUCGAAUCUUUGAACGCACAUUGCGCCCCUUGGUAUUCCAUGGGGCAUGCCUGU